UGGGGAAUAUUGCACAAUGGGCGCAAGCCUGAUGCAGCCAUGCCGCGUGUCUGAAGAAGGCCUUCGGGUUGUAAAGUACUUUCAGCGGGGAGGAAGGGAGUAAAGUUAAUACCUUUGCUCAUUGACGUUACCCGCAGAAGAAGCACCGGCUAACUCCGUGCCAGCAGCCGCGGUAAUACGGAGGGUGCAAGCGUUAAUCGGAAUUACUGGGCGUAAAGCGCACGCAGGCGGUUUGUUAAGUCAGAUGUGAAAUCCCCGGGCUCAACCUGGGAACUGCAUCUGAUACUGGCAAGCUUGAGUCUCGUAGAGGGGGGUAGAAUUCCAGGUGUAGCGGUGAAAUGCGUAGAGAUCUGGAGGAAUACCGGUGGCGAAGGCGGCCCCCUGGACAAAGACUGACGCUCAGGUGCGAAAGCGUGGGGAGCAAACAGG
RNAcentral lists this ribosomal RNA (429 nucleotides) under Chloroflexota bacterium. RNAcentral's name for it is "Chloroflexi bacterium partial 16S ribosomal RNA". It matches the Rfam family "Bacterial small subunit ribosomal RNA", at positions 355 to 776 of the family's 1533-position model. The record is from RNAcentral. Lineage: Bacteria; Bacillati; Chloroflexota.